Molecule: transfer RNA, 85 nt
Organism: Felis catus (domestic cat)
Lineage: Eukaryota; Metazoa; Chordata; Mammalia; Carnivora; Felidae
Rfam family: tRNA
About the family: Transfer RNA (tRNA) molecules are approximately 80 nucleotides in length. Their secondary structure includes four short double-helical elements and three loops (D, anti-codon, and T loops). Further hydrogen bonds mediate the characteristic L-shaped molecular structure. tRNAs have two regions of fundamental functional importance: the anti-codon, which is responsible for specific mRNA codon recognition, and the 3' end, to which the tRNAs corresponding amino acid is attached (by aminoacyl-tRNA synthetases). tRNAs cope with the degeneracy of the genetic code in two manners: having more than one tRNA (with a specific anti-codon) for a particular amino acid; and 'wobble' base-pairing, i.e. permitting non-standard base-pairing at the 3rd anti-codon position.
Source: Rfam
GCCUGGGUAGCUCAGUUGGUUAAGCAUCUGACUUCUGCUCAGGUUAUGAUCUCAUGUUUUGUGAGUUGGAGCCCCACGUCAGGCU